This 607-nucleotide ribosomal RNA is filed under the name uncultured bacterium. RNAcentral's name for it is "bacterial SSU rRNA". The stretch from base 1 to 533 matches the Rfam family "Bacterial small subunit ribosomal RNA", at positions 338 to 873 of the family's 1533-position model. The record is from RNAcentral.
CCUACGGGAGGCAGCAGUAGGGAAUAUUGGUCAAUGGACGAAAGUCUGAACCAGCCAUGCCGCGUGAAGGAUGAAGGCCCUAUGGGUCGUAAACUUCUUUUAUUAGGGAAGAAACCUUAGGAUGCGUCCUAAGCUGACGGUACCUAAUGAAUAAGGAUCGGCUAACUUCGUGCCAGCAGCCGCGGUAAGACGAAGGAUCCAAGCGUUGUCCGGAUUUACUGGGUUUAAAGGGUGCGUAGGCGGAAAAUUAAGUCAGUGGUGAAAGCCCGCAGCUCAACUGUGGAACUGCCAUUGAAACUGAUUUUCUUGAAUAUAGUUGAGGCAGAUGGAAUAUAACAUGUAGCGGUGAAAUGCUUAGAUAUGUUAUAGAACACCGAUUGCGAAGGCAGUCUGCUAAGCUAUUAUUGACGCUGAGGCACGAAAGCGUGGGGAGCGAACAGGAUUAGAUACCCUGGUAGUCCACGCCCUAAACGUUGAUUACUCGCUGUUGGCGAUAUACUNUNAGUGNGUAGAGAAGACGUAGUAAGUACACGNGGAGACGACGCGAGUAGUUAAGUUACAAGAAGUUAGUAGCGNGAGAGNGCGACGGACGACGACGAGGAGGAGG